UGAUCCUGGCUCAGGACGAACGCUGGCGGCGUGCUUAACACAUGCAAGUCGAACGAUGACGGUGGUGCUUGCACCGCCUGAUUAGUGGCGAACGGGUGAGUAACACGUGAGUAACCUGCCCUCCACUUCGGGAUAACCUCGGGAAAUCGUGGCUAAUACCGGAUAUGAGCACUCAUCGCAUGGUGGGUGUUGGAAAGAUUUAUCGGUGGGGGAUGGACUCGCGGCCUAUCAGUUUGUUGGUGAGGUGAUGGCUCACCAAGACGAUGACGGGUAGCCGGCCUGAGAGGGCGACCGGCCACACUGGGACUGAGACACGGCCCAGACUCCUACGGGAGGCAGCAGUGGGGAAUAUUGCACAAUGGGCGAAAGCCUGAUGCAGCGACGCCGCGUGGGGGAUGACGGCCUUCGGGUUGUAAACCCCUUUCAGUAGGGAAGAAGCGAGAGUGACGGUACCUGCAGAAGAAGCGCCGGCUAACUACGUGCCAGCAGCCGCGGUAAUACGUAGGGCGCAAGCGUUGUCCGGAAUUAUUGGGCGUAAAGAGCUUGUAGGUGGCUUGUCGCGUCUGCCGUGAAAACCCGAGGCUCAACCUCGGGCGUGCGGUGGGUACGGGCAGGCUAGAGUGUGGUAGGGGAGACUGGAACUCCUGGUGUAGCGGUGAAAUGCGCAGAUAUCAGGAAGAACACCGAUGGCGAAGGCAGGUCUCUGGGCCAUUACUGACACUGAGAAGCGAAAGCAUGGGUAGCGAACAGGAUUAGAUACCCUGGUAGUCCAUGCCGUAAACGUUGGGCACUAGGUGUGGGGGACAUUCCACGUUUUCCGCGCCGUAGCUAACGCAUUAAGU
RNAcentral lists this ribosomal RNA (842 nucleotides) under Brachybacterium sp. RNAcentral describes it as "bacterial SSU rRNA". It matches the Rfam family "Bacterial small subunit ribosomal RNA", at positions 14 to 865 of the family's 1533-position model. Lineage: Bacteria; Bacillati; Actinomycetota; Actinomycetes; Micrococcales; Dermabacteraceae. The record is from RNAcentral.